CGUAGGCGGGAUAAUAAGUCAGUGGUGAAAGUUUGCAGCUUAACUGUAAAAUUGCCGUUGAAACUGUUAUUCUUGAGAGUAGAUAAGGUAGGCGGAAUGUGUUGUGUAGCGGUGAAAUGCAUAGAUAUAACACAGAACCCCGAUUGCGAAGGCAGCUUACCGGGCUACAUCUGACGCUGAUGCACGAAAGCGUGGGGAUCAAACAGGAUUAGAUACCCUGGUAGUCCACGCAGUAAACGAUGAAUACUAGCUGUAUGCGAUAUACUGUAUGUGGCAAAGCGAAAGCAUUAAGUAUUCCACCUGGGGAGUACGUUCGCAAGAAUGAAACUCAAAGGAAUUGACGGGGGCCCGCACAAGCGGAGGAACAUGUGGUUUAAUUCGAUGAUACGCGAGGAACCUUACCCGGGCUUGAAAUGCAAUCGACGGUAUUGGAAACAUUACUUCCAGCAAUGGCGAUUGUGUAGGUGCUGCAUGGUUGUCGUCAGCUCGUGCCGUGAGGUGUCGGCUUAAGUGCCAUAACGAGCGCAACCCUUAUCAUUAGUUGCCAUCGGGUUAUGCCGGGAACUCUAAUGAGACUGCCACCGUAAGGUGUGAGGAAGGUGGGGAUGACGUCAAAUCAGCACGGCCCUUACGUCCGGGGCGACACACGUGUUACAAUGGGGGGUACAGCGGGCAGCUACCUGGCGACAGGAUGCUAAUCUCAAAAGCCGAUCUCAGUUCGGAUCGGAGUCUGCAACUCGACUCCGUGAAGUUGGAUUCGCUAGUAAUCGCGCAUCAGCCAUGGCGCGGUGAAUACGUUCCCGGGCCUUGUACACACCGCCCGUCAAGCCAUGGAAGCUGGGGGUACCUAAAGUCCGUAACCGCAAGGAGCGGCCUAGGGUAAAACUAGUGACUGGGGCU
Molecule: ribosomal RNA, 900 nt
Filed under: uncultured Bacteroides sp.
Lineage: Bacteria; Pseudomonadati; Bacteroidota; Bacteroidia; Bacteroidales; Bacteroidaceae
Description: bacterial SSU rRNA
Rfam family: Bacterial small subunit ribosomal RNA
Source: RNAcentral